CGCGGAGGUCCAAGUUGUAUUUUGCAAAGGAUGCUUCUGGCGCGGCGCCUUCCGAGUUCCCUGGAACGGGACGCCGCAGAGGGUCAGAGCCCCGUCCGGUCGGACGCCUACCCUGUGUGAAGCACCUUCAACAAGUCGGGUAUUUUGGGAAUGCUGCCCUAAAUGGGAGGUAUAUGUCUUCUAAAGCUAAAUACCGGCCAGAGACCGAUAGCGCACAAUUAGAGUGAUCGAAAGAUGAAAAGCACUUUGAAAAGAGGGUUAAACAGUACGUGAAAUUGUUGAAAGGGAAGCGCUCAUGACCAGACUUGGGCCCGGGGGAUCACCCGGCGUUCUUCGCCGGGGCACUUCGCCGGCUGCCCAGGCCAGCAUCAGUUCGUGGCGGGGGACAAAGGCUUCGGGAACGUGGCUCCCUACGGGGAGUGUUAUAGCCCGCUGCGCAAUGCCCUGCCGCGGACUGAGGUUCGCGCUUCCGCAAGGAUGCUGGCGUAAUGGUCAUCAGCGACCCGUCUUGAAACACGGACCAAGGAGUCGUCUUCGUAUGCGAGUGUUCGGGUGUCAAACCCCUACGCGUAAUGAAAGUGAACGCAUGUGAGAGCUUCCGCGCAUCACCGAUCGAUCCUGAUGUUCUCGGAUGGAUUUGAGUACGAACAUACGGGGCCGGACGCGAAAGAAGGUGAACUAUGCCUGUAUAGGGUGAAGCCAGGGAAAACUCUGGUGGAGGCUCGCAACGGUUCUGACGUGCAAAUCGAUCGUCAAAUAUGGGCAUGGGGGCGAAAGACUAAUCGAACCUUCUAGUAGCUGGUUUCCGCCGGAUUUCCCUCAGGAUAACACUGUUGAGUCUCAUUUUUAUGAGGUAAAGCGAAUGAUUAGGGACCCGGGGGCGCUCUUUAGCUUUAAUCCAUUCUCAAACUUUAAAUAUGUAAGAAACCCUUUUUACUUUGGUGAACGUGGGCCUUCAAAUGUUUCAACCCUAGUGGGGCCUUUUUUGGUAAACAAAACUGGCGAUGCGGGAUGAACCAAACCCCAGGUUAAGGUG
Molecule: ribosomal RNA, 1036 nt
Filed under: Pleurocordyceps nipponica
Lineage: Eukaryota; Fungi; Ascomycota; Sordariomycetes; Hypocreales; Polycephalomycetaceae
Description: LSU rRNA
Rfam family: Eukaryotic large subunit ribosomal RNA
Source: RNAcentral